Molecule: long non-coding RNA, 3811 nt
Filed under: Phaseolus vulgaris (common bean)
Lineage: Eukaryota; Viridiplantae; Streptophyta; Magnoliopsida; Fabales; Fabaceae
Description: long non-coding RNA (PVUL_LNC001236)
Source: RNAcentral
AAUAUUCCACAACAAAAUAGUAUAGUUGAAAGGAAAUAUGGUCAUUUAUUAAAUGUAGCAAUAGCUCUCAUGAUACAAUCUCAUUUAUCCAAAAUAUUGGUCAUAUUCUGUGAUACAUGUUGCACAUAUUAUAAACAUGCUUCCCACACCUAUUUUAAACUAUUUUUCUCUUGUGCUUUGAUGACGUUCUCCAUUAGUCACCUUGAGGUCUCGACAUUGUCUCUCAGCCUUUGUUGCUCGGCUUAGGAUUCUUCAUAGAGGCGUUCCUGCUCCGCUCGUAAUUCCUGAGUUUGUCUCCUUGACUCCUCGCUUUCACGUUGUAAGGCCUGCAUCGUCUCUAUGACCUGCUGCAGAGUGAAUGUUUCUCCGUCGUCAGGCGUGGUUGUUUGUUUGGUAGGCCUCAUGAUUCUAACUUUUGUAUUUGUUUUCCAGUGAGAGUGGCAAUAGGAACAAUUUUACCUACCCCAUGGUGGGAAUGUUCUCGUCGAGAUGAGGUCGGUCGAAAUCUGGAAGAGUUCCAAGUGUUCUCCCUUCAAGCUCUUAGUGAUUCGGCUUCUAAGGUACGAGGGGGCUUUACCUGCAAAAAAUACUCUGACACUCAAAUCAUUAAGAGCAUAAAAUUUUGUGUAUGUAGUGAGUAUAACGCAAGAUAUGAGUUGAGAUUAUUCUCUGUGAGUGGUCAUCUACUUAUAAGCCUUCAUGAACUUGGAUCUUUGAUGUUGGUUUCUCCAAGUUUAAAUGUGACAUACUAUAAUAUCUUUUUAUAAAAUUUGAAUAUUAUGUAUAUAAAUCAAAGCAUUUAUGUAAUAUAACAAUGGGAUACUGUGUAAGUAAAUUAGAACAUUUAUGUAAUGUAAUCAGGGAUAUUGUGCAUAACAUUUAUAUAAUAUAAUCAGGGAUAUUGUGCAUUAAAAUCACGUUAAUAGAGUGUUAAUCGUGUUUUUACGGGAUUUUAUUCUCUAAAUGUCACACUUGGGUUUUAUCAGUAUUUUAUGAAUUCUCCUUUUUUCCUUAGGCCAACUGGCGAAUUGGGCUUGGCCCAUCUUGUUGAGUUUGGGCCCGUUCAGUUAUAUAUUGGUCGAGACAAGCCUUCGUGCUAGCCAUGAUACAAGUGUUGUUGGACUAUCUCUUUGGGUCGGUCAGCUCAACAAAAAUGGUCGAGCAAGUCCCAUACGGUACAAUAUUUGAGUCUUUUAAAGUUUAUCAUAAUGAGAGUUUGUUGAGCUUAUCAGGUCACUUACUAUCAGGCCGUCAUCGGAUCAUCCAUAAAUAUAUAGUCUCACGCACGAGUUGUCACUCUCGGCGUGAGGAGGUGUGUUAUAGAUCCCAAAUUGACUAGAAAUUAAGACAUAUUAUAGUAUAUAAGUGAAUGCAAAUUUCACCUUAUAAGUCGAUUUUAUGAGAUUGAGUUAAAUUUAAAAUUCAAUUUUCAAUAGUUUAUAAAAGAACCAAUAUAGAAAUAACUUGUGCAAAUCUAUCUUAUCCAUUAUCUCUUUAGAUUGCUUGUUAUCUUCAUCUAAUUUAAGAACUAAGAGCUUUGUGAAAAACAAGUUUUGAAUUUUUUUUAUAGUACGUCUAUCAAAUUUAAAGUUACAUCUGACGAUAAGUUUUGAAACACAAUUAAAUCCAUUUUUUUUAUAUGAUUUCUUCAAGUUUUCUCAAAAUGUUAAACAUAAAAAAAGACAAAAAUAUAAUUAAUUAUUAUUAAGAUUAAGUUUAUGAAAGAAGCACAAAAAUUUAAAGAGAAAAUAAAUUGUAUAAAUUUUAAUAUUUUCAGUCCCAAAAAAAUACCAAAAAUAAUAAUAUUUAAUAUAAAAUAACUCUAAAAGUUUAAACAUAUUAAUUUUAUUCACAUUGUAAAUAAAUAGAAAAAUAAUAAUUCGAAAUCAUCUAUACUAAACUCAUCAUCCAAUUUCUACAAUAAAAAAUUAAUUUGGGUUGAGUGAAAUUUAACCUAAUAUAAAUAGAACCUAAAUGAAUUUAUUUGAAAACUCUCAAGAGAAUAACCUUUCAUCCAUUAUCAUUCAUAAACUAAAAUGAUUUAAGGGAAUGGAUACCUUUAACAGUGGAUUAAAUAAAUUCAUUUUGAAGAAAGAUGGGUGAUUCAUUAAUAAUUUUAUAAUAAAUUAAAUAUAUAAAAAUUAAUAAUUAAUAUAUUUAAAAUUAAAAAAAAAUUAUGUAACAUUUUUUAUUACUGGUUGAUAAAUAACAGGUGGGAUGAAAUAGAGACGUUGGAGCGUGAGUGAGGAAGAAAAGAUGUUACAGUUUCCGGCAUAUAUGACGCAGUACCCACUCUCCACCAGAACUAUUCCGACGUCGUUUCUUCUACCCUCUCAGUGGCCCCACCCCCAAAACGAAGAACUCCUCCUCGCCUUGGAAGAGUCCGAUUUCGAAGAAAAGGUCCUUUCUUUUCGCUCUACCCUCCACCCUUUCUCUUCUGUUACCUCUCUUCAUUACAUUCUGUUUCUAACGCCAUAUAAAUUCCUUCAAAACGCUAUUUUUGGGGAUGUACUCUGUCACUUUUAUACGCAUCUUUGCACACAUUUUUUCUUCUAGGUUUCUUAUGUUUCUAAUCAAAUGAUUCAGAAUUUGGGAUUUCAGAGGCGUGUAGGGAUUUGAUCACAUGGUACAUAUGAAACAUUAGAGUGUGAAUGAAUGGUCAUAACUGGGAAUUCACAAAAUGAGAAAUAUUACACAUGAUUUUCUGCUGAUAUGUUAAUCUAAACACACAUGGUCGGAAAUUUAUGUCAAAAUUAUCCUCUCUCCUUCUAGAGAGGUAUAAUAGGUGGAACAUUUUGUUUCUUAGAUUUUGUUCACAUAUUUAGGUUGUUAGCAUCUUUCUCUUAAAAUUUCAUAUCUUAGGGAACAACAAAGUUUGGUCAUCCUAUAAGGAUAAAAUCUGCCAACUAAGUUUGGCACAAAAAGAUGGUUGGAUGCCUUCUCUUGUUGAUCUGACCACUGUUUGAUUCUUAGUUGUGUAUAUGAUAAAAGCUUUGUGGAGAGAAACAAAGUCUACUUUAAUGAUCACUAUCUUUUGUUUAAGGAAUAAUUCCCGGAUUUCAAGUUAGGAGAUAUCCUCGAACUAUACUAAGUGCAUGUUUGGUUUUUAGUAUCAUGGUCCAAAAGUAUGUUCACAAAGUAAAACAUGAAAAACAUGCUGUUUGGUUUUCAGUUGAGCCUGAUUUUAAAAUUUAAAGAACAUCUUGUUCUAUUACAAUUUUAUCUUGAAACUCGAUUUAAGAUAGAAGAGAAGGUAGAGUUGUUUUUAUAAACUCAGUUUGCGAAAUGAAUUUUGUCUAAACUUAAGUUUACAAACUUUAGACCAAACAUGCCCUAGGCUAUGUUAGGAAUAAAGUUUGCAACAUGGAUAGCUGUUUUCUCAUUACAUCUAUAUGAACCAAUAAAAGGUAGCUUCAGCAUCAUUCAGGCCUGUGGAUGUGAUUUUUGCCAAGGAUGUGGCGUGAAAAUGACAUACCAAACACACAAAACAAUAAAAUCUCCUCAAAGGGCAAGCUAUCAUUUUACCACAUCAGCAUCUAGCUGUUUGCUUGAACUUACCUGCAUGGCUGUCAUGAUAUUAACUAGUAGGCAUAUUUGUAAAGUAAUCGUCCGCAUAUACAUCUUGACAGUUAAGAAAGGCCUGGAUUAUCCAUGACAUAAGGUAGUUUUCACUUAACAAGAUAAUAAGUUACAAGGUGCAAUUCACUGUGCUCUUUGAAUUUCUCUUUCAUAUUGUCCAUUGCCGCAUACUCAUCAUACCUGUCAUUGUCGUCACGAAUCAUUGCAGUGCAAUGAGAUUAGGAAGAUGAAC